GUAGGGUGCAGGCGUUAAUCGGAAUUACUGGGCGUAAAGCGUGCGCAGGCGGCUCCUUAAGUCAGAUGUGAAAGCCCCGGGCUUAACCUGGGAACUGCGUUUGAAACUGGGGAGCUAGAGUGUAGAAGAGGGGGGUGGAAUUCCAGGUGUAGCAGUGAAAUGCGUAGAGAUCUGGAGGAACACCGAUGGCGAAGGCAGCCCCCUGGGCUAACACUGACGCUCAUGCACGAAAGCGUGGGGAGCAAACAGGAUUAGAUACCCUGGUAGUCCACGCCCUAAACGAUGUCAACUGGUUGUCGGGGAAGUAAUUCCUUGGUAACGAAGCUAACGCGUGAAGUUGACCGCCUGGGGAGUACGGCCGCAAGGCUA
This 369-nucleotide ribosomal RNA is filed under the name uncultured bacterium. RNAcentral describes it as "bacterial SSU rRNA". It matches the Rfam family "Bacterial small subunit ribosomal RNA", at positions 527 to 896 of the family's 1533-position model. The record is from RNAcentral.